AGUGAACGCUGGCGGUAGGCCUAACACAUGCAAGUCGAACGGCAGCACAGUAAGAGCUUGCUCUUACGGGUGGCGAGUGGCGGACGGGUGAGGAAUACAUCGGAAUCUACUUUUUCGUGGGGGAUAACGUAGGGAAACUUACGCUAAUACCGCAUACGACCUACGGGUGAAAGCAGGGGAUCUUCGGACCUUGCGCGAUUGAAUGAGCCGAUGUCGGAUUAGCUAGUUGGCGGGGUAAAGGCCCACCAAGCCGACGAUCCGUAGCUGGUCUGAGCGGAUGAUCAGCAACACUGGAACUGAGACACGGUCCAGACUCCUACGGGAGGCAGCAGUGGGGAAUAUUGGACAAUGGGCGCAAGCCUGAUCCAGCCAUACCGCGUGGGUGAAGAAGGCCUUCGGGUUGUAAAGCCCUUUUGUUGGGAAAGAAAAGCAGCAGGUUAAUACCCCGCUGUUCUGACGGUACCCAAAGAAUAAGCACCGGCUAACUUCGUG
This 492-nucleotide ribosomal RNA is filed under the name uncultured bacterium. Its description in RNAcentral is "partial 16S ribosomal RNA". It matches the Rfam family "Bacterial small subunit ribosomal RNA", at positions 29 to 507 of the family's 1533-position model. The record is from RNAcentral.